CACGGAGCAAGUUAAGCUAAUUUUGGGGUGGAAAAUGAAAACAUUAAAAAAUAACAUUAUUUUUACUUUUACAGAAAAAUGUCAACAUCGACCAGCAUUGCACAAUCGAUGAUCGUCAAAGAAGAAACACGCGACAACACUACAUACAUGUGACUAAAAUAACUUUAUUUAUAUACUGGAUAGCUCGAACAUUCACCAAACUGCUCCCCUAGAGGUCCAGUACGUAUAAGGGCGAUCUUCGCAGAUCAUCCGUUCAAAUUCUCUACUUUGAGUCAAAUGCCUAAAUUGGAUGCAUCAUUAGUUGAGAUUUGUCUUUAACGAUAUAAUUCAGUAAUUAAUUAAUUAAUUAAUUAAAUUAAUUAAUUAAAUUAAUUAAUUAAUCAUAUUUAUUGGCGGAUAUAAUUAUUUAAUUAUAUUUAAUUGCUAACUAAACACUGAAUUACAUUCGUUAUAUAUAGCCUAUAUGUUUGAACUAAAACGACAAAAAUGUUUAGUCAUUUUCUACUUUCGACUAUUUGCCAUUUGGUGUGAAGAUGCACACAGUAUAGGCUACAAAUGAACUGAAUUCAUGAUAGAAGUUGUAUACAUAUGAAUAUUAAUAUUAUAUUUUGGACAAUUAAUUUUAUGAGGUUAAGGCCUAUUUUAUACGUCGAAUUUUGGUCGAGUCGAAUGCAAUUAAGACAAUAGAUAAUGAGAUGAUAAACAUCAUUAAGCUUCAUAAUCUAUUGUUUGAAUUGCACUCGACGCGACCGAAAUUCGACGUAUAAAACAGGCCCAAGUAUAAGUAGGUACAAUCUUUACUGGACUAAAUGUUGUCCUAAAGCAAUAUAUAUUUGCUCAUAGCUGUAGAAGCAAUUGAACCCGGAUACAUGUGAUACAGUACAAUAUAUAUAAAUAGAUUGAAAACACGAAUAGUGCAUUCACAUUAGACACAAAUUUUUUUCUUAUAUCUUUAGUAACUCACGAGUCUUGAACAAAAUACAAACGAAAUUAAUACAACAAUAUACGGUAUUAAUUUUCUUUGGCUUUGCGUUUUGCUCAUGAAUUAUUGAUGAGAAACAAAUAAUGUAUAUAUACAAUGUAUAUAAAAAUGCUAUAAAUUGUAGCAGUAUUGUUUCUAGUAGUAAUCAAUUAGCCAAGCCCAAGGUUAACAUAAAAUGUAUAAAACCCUAUAUAACCUAGAUGUAUAUAGGCUAGAAUUGUUAGAUAUAACGAUAUAUGUAUAUAUCAAUUACUUAAAGCAAAGUUAGUUUACUAUAUUUUUAUGACGGAUUUUUAGUAAAGCACUCAACGUGUUCUUGAGAUCCUGAUGGCAAUUAAUGUCAAUAAAUAUAUGUACAACAGCUUUGAAACUUCAUGUGAAUUGGUUUUGCAUCUUGAAAUAAAGAGUUAAUAUGAAAA
Paramuricea clavata is the source of this 1401-nucleotide non-coding RNA. The record is from the annotation of a GenBank genome assembly. NCBI's taxonomy places the organism in Eukaryota, Metazoa, Cnidaria, Anthozoa, Malacalcyonacea, Plexauridae.